Molecule: small nucleolar RNA, 138 nt
Organism: Ornithorhynchus anatinus (platypus)
Lineage: Eukaryota; Metazoa; Chordata; Mammalia; Monotremata; Ornithorhynchidae
Source: RefSeq, a predicted model, not a curated record
UCUCUCUCAGGGUCACACCUGGAGAGUUUCCAGGACUCUACCAGUCUUGACUAUGAGAGGGAGAGUCAAGCAGAAGCCUGCCCAUUCCAUUUCUGGCUUGGGCAAUGGCUAGUGAGUGAAACACAGUCUGCUACAAGU